Molecule: ribosomal RNA, 1503 nt
Filed under: Salmonella enterica subsp. enterica serovar Infantis
Lineage: Bacteria; Pseudomonadati; Pseudomonadota; Gammaproteobacteria; Enterobacterales; Enterobacteriaceae
Description: partial 16S ribosomal RNA
Source: RNAcentral
GGCUACCUUGUUACGACUUCACCCCAGUCAUGAAUCACAAAGUGGUAAGCGCCCUCCCGAAGGUUAAGCUACCUACUUCUUUUGCAACCCACUCCCAUGGUGUGACGGGCGGUGUGUACAAGGCCCGGGAACGUAUUCACCGUGGCAUUCUGAUCCACGAUUACUAGCGAUUCCGACUUCAUGGAGUCGAGUUGCAGACUCCAAUCCGGACUACGACGCACUUUAUGAGGUCCGCUUGCUCUCGCGAGGUCGCUUCUCUUUGUAUGCGCCAUUGUAGCACGUGUGUAGCCCUGGUCGUAAGGGCCAUGAUGACCUGACGUCAUCCCCACCUUCCUCCAGUUUAUCACUGGCAGUCUCCUUUGAGUUCCCGGCCGGACCGCUGGCAACAAAGGAUAAGGGUUGCGCUCGUUGCGGGACUUAACCCAACAUUUCACAACACGAGCUGACGACAGCCAUGCAGCACCUGUCUCACAGUUCCCGAAGGCACAAAUCCAUCUCUGGAUUCUUCUGUGGAUGUCAAGACCAGGUAAGGUUCUUCGCGUUGCAUCGAAUUAAACCACAUGCUCCACCGCUUAUGCGGGCCCCCGUCAAUUCAUUUGAGUUUUAACCUUGCGGCCGUACUCCCCAGGCGGUCUACUUAACGCGUUAGCUCCGGAAGCCACGCCUCAAGGGCACAACCUCCAAGUAGACAUCGUUUACGGCGUGGACUACCUGGGUAUCUAAUCCUGUUUGCUCCCCACGCUUUCGCACCUGAGCGUCAGUCUUUGUCCAGGGGGCCGCCUUCGCCACCGGUAUUCCUCCAGAUCUCUACGCAUUUCACCGCUACACCUGGAAUUCUACCCCCCUCUACAAGACUCAAGCCUGCCAGUUUCGAAUGCAGUUCCCAGGUUGAGCCCGGGGAUUUCACAUCCGACUUGACAGACCGCCUGCGUGCGCUUUACGCCCAGUAAUUCCGAUUAACGCUUGCACCCUCCGUAUUACCGCGGCUGCUGGCACGGAGUUAGCCGGUGCUUCUUCUGCGGGUAACGUCAAUUGCUGCGGUUAUUAACCACAACACCUUCCUCCCCGCUGAAAGUACUUUACAACCCGAAGGCCUUCUUCAUACACGCGGCAUGGCUGCAUCAGGCUUGCGCCCAUUGUGCAAUAUUCCCCACUGCUGCCUCCCGUAGGAGUCUGGACCGUGUCUCAGUUCCAGUGUGGCUGGUCAUCCUCUCAGACCAGCUAGGGAUCGUCGCCUUGGUGAGCCGUUACCUCACCAGCAAGCUAAUCCCAUCUGGGCACAUCUGAUGGCAAGAGACCCGAAGGUCCCCCUCUUUGGUCUUGCGACGUUAUGCGGUAUUAGCCACCGUUUCCAGUAGUUAUCCCCCUCCAUCAGGCAGUUUCCCAGACAUUACUCACCCGUCCGCCACUCGUCAGCGAAGCAGCAAGCUGCUUCCUGUUACCGUUCGACUUGCAUGUGUUAGGCCUGCCGCCAGCGUUCAAUCUGAGCCAGGAUCAAACUCU